Molecule: transfer RNA, 28 nt
Filed under: Sceloporus aeneus (Southern bunchgrass lizard)
Lineage: Eukaryota; Metazoa; Chordata; Lepidosauria; Squamata; Phrynosomatidae
Also listed under: 1 other name
Description: partial tRNA-Leu
Source: RNAcentral
UUAAAGGAUAAAAGUAAUCCAUUGGUCU